Molecule: ribosomal RNA, 492 nt
Filed under: uncultured bacterium
Lineage: Bacteria
Description: partial 16S ribosomal RNA
Rfam family: Bacterial small subunit ribosomal RNA
Source: RNAcentral
AGUGAACGCUGGCGGUAGGCCUAAUACAUGCAAGUCGAACGGCAGCACAGUAAGCUUUCUCCUUUACCGCUGGCGGGUGGCGGGUGGGUGACGCAUACAUCAGCUUCUUCUUUUUCUUGGGUGACUUCGUGAGGCCAGUUCCGCUACUGCCUCAUAUUUCGUACCGCUUAAUUCGAUAGUUCUUCAUACCUUUCCUGUCUCUUUUAGCUGAUGUCGGAUUAGCUAGUUGGGUGGGUAAAGGCCCACCAAGGCAACGAUCCGUAGCUGAUCUGAGAGGAUGAUCAGCCACACUGGAACUGAGACACGGUCCAGACUCCUACGGGAGGCAGCAGUGGGGAAUAUUGGGCAAUGGGCGAAAGCCUGAUCGAGCAAUACCGCGUGGGUGAAGAAGGCCUUCGGAUUGUAAAGCCCUUUUGUUGGGAAAGAAAAGAAGCAGGAUAAUACCCCGCUGUUCUGACGGUACCCAAAGAAUAAGCACCGGCUAACUUCGUG